Molecule: ribosomal RNA, 255 nt
Filed under: Klebsiella pneumoniae
Lineage: Bacteria; Pseudomonadati; Pseudomonadota; Gammaproteobacteria; Enterobacterales; Enterobacteriaceae
Description: partial 23S ribosomal RNA
Rfam family: Bacterial large subunit ribosomal RNA
Source: RNAcentral
AGACCGAAAGGCGUAGUCGAUGGGAAACAGGUUAAUAUUCCUGUACUUGGUGUUACUGCGAAGGGGGGACGGAGAAGGCUAUGUUAGCCGGGCGACGGUUGUCCCGGUUUAAGCAUGUAGGCUGAUUAUCCAGGCAAAUCCGGAUAAUCAAGGCUGAGGUGUGAUGACGAGGCACUACGGUGCUGAAGUAACAAAUGCCCUGCUUCCAGGAAAAGCCUCUAAGCAUCAGGUAACAUCAAAUCGUACCCCAAACCG